GACGAACGCUGGCGGCGUGCUUAACACAUGCAAGUCGAACGGAAAGGGCCUGCCGUUUUCUGGUGUCCGUCUUGGUGACGGGCGAGUGAGUCACGCGUAACCUACCCGUGCUUUUGGGGGAAAUUACAGUAACUGGCGACUACUCCUGCCGCAUACUCCUUCUGCUCGGCGUGGGGUGGAAAGGUUCGGCGGUUGGGGUUGGUCGCGUGGCUCUGAAGCUGGUUGGUGGGGUAGGGGAUUACCAAGGCUGUGACGGGUAGCCGGCCUGAGAGGGUGACAGGCCACAGUGGGACUGAGAUAGGGGCCAGACUCCUACGGGAGGAAGCAGUGGGGAAUAUUGCACAAUGGGCGGAAGCCUGAUGCAGCAACGCCGCGUGCGGGAUGACGGCCUUCGGGUUGGAAACCGCUUCCGGCUGUGACGAAGCGUGAGUGACGGUAAUGGGUAAAGAAGCACCGGCUAACUACGUG
This 468-nucleotide ribosomal RNA is filed under the name uncultured bacterium. Its description in RNAcentral is "partial 16S ribosomal RNA". It matches the Rfam family "Bacterial small subunit ribosomal RNA", at positions 28 to 507 of the family's 1533-position model. The record is from RNAcentral.